GGAUAAAAGGUACUCCGGGGAUAACAGGCUGAUACCGCCCAAGAGUUCAUAUCGACGGCGGUGUUUGGCACCUCGAUGUCGGCUCAUCACAUCCUGGGGCUGAAGUAGGUCCCAAGGGUAUGGCUGUUCGCCAUUUAAAGUGGUACGCGAGCUGGGUUUAGAACGUCGUGAGACAGUUCGGUCCCUAUCUGCCGUGGGCGCUGGAGAAUUGAGGGGGGCUGCUCCUAGUACGAGAGGACCGGAGUGGACGCAUCACUGGUGUUCGGGUUGUCAUGCCAAUGGCACUGCCCGGUAGCUAAAUGCGGAAGAGAUAAGUGCUGAAAGCAUCUAAGCACGAAACUUGCCCCGAGAUGAGUUCUCCCUGAGACUU
This 370-nucleotide ribosomal RNA is filed under the name Klebsiella pneumoniae. RNAcentral describes it as "partial 23S ribosomal RNA". It matches the Rfam family "Bacterial large subunit ribosomal RNA", at positions 2454 to 2823 of the family's 2925-position model. The record is from RNAcentral. Lineage: Bacteria; Pseudomonadati; Pseudomonadota; Gammaproteobacteria; Enterobacterales; Enterobacteriaceae.